GACGAACGCUGGCGGCGUGCUUAACACAUGCAAGUCGAACGGAAAGGCCCUGCUUUUGUGGGGUGCUCGAGUGGCGAACGGGUGAGUAACACGUGAGUAACCUGCCCUUGACUUUGGGAUAACUUCAGGAAACUGGGGCUAAUACCGGAUAGGAGCUCCUGCUGCAUGGUGGGGGUUGGAAAGUUUCGGCGGUUGGGGAUGGACUCGCGGCUUAUCAGCUUGUUGGUGGGGUAGUGACUUACCAAGGCUUUGACGGGUAGCCGGCCUGGGAGGGUGACCGGCCACAUAGGGACUGAGAUACGGCCCAGACUCCUACGGGCGGCAGGAGUGGGGGAUAUUGCACAAUGGGCGGAAGCCUGAUGGAGCAACGCCGCGUGCGGGAUGACGGCCUUCGGGUUGUAAACCGCUUUCGCCUGUGACGAAGCGUGAGUGACGGUAAUGGGUAAAGAAGCACCGGCUAACUACGU
RNAcentral lists this ribosomal RNA (467 nucleotides) under uncultured bacterium. RNAcentral describes it as "partial 16S ribosomal RNA". It matches the Rfam family "Bacterial small subunit ribosomal RNA", at positions 28 to 506 of the family's 1533-position model. The record is from RNAcentral.